This 1325-nucleotide ribosomal RNA is filed under the name uncultured bacterium. RNAcentral describes it as "bacterial SSU rRNA". It matches the Rfam family "Bacterial small subunit ribosomal RNA", at positions 28 to 1381 of the family's 1533-position model. The record is from RNAcentral.
GAUGAACGCUGGCGGCGUGCCUAACACAUGCAAGUCGAGCGAUUCUCUUCGGAGAAGAGCGGCGGACGGGUGAGUAACGCGUGGGUAACCUGCCCUGUACACACGGAUAACAUACCGAAAGGUAUGCUAAUACGAGAUAAUAUGCUUUUAUCGCAUGGUAGAAGUAUCAAAGCUUUUGCGGUACAGGAUGGACCCGCGUCUGAUUAGCUAGUUGGUAAGGUAACGGCUUACCAAGGCGACGAUCAGUAGCCGACCUGAGAGGGUGAUCGGCCACAUUGGAACUGAGACACGGUCCAAACUCCUACGGGAGGCAGCAGUGGGGAAUAUUGCACAAUGGGCGAAAGCCUGAUGCAGCAACGCCGCGUGAGCGAUGAAGGCCUUCGGGUCGUAAAGCUCUGUCCUCAAGGAAGAUAAUGACGGUACUUGAGGAGGAAGCCCCGGCUAACUACGUGCCAGCAGCCGCGGUAAUACGUAGGGGGCUAGCGUUAUCCGGAAUUACUGGGCGUAAAGGGUGCGUAGGUGGUUUCUUAAGUCAGAGGUGAAAGGCUACGGCUCAACCGUAGUAAGCCUUUGAAACUGGGAAACUUGAGUGCAGGAGAGGAGAGUGGAAUUCCUAGUGUAGCGGUGAAAUGCGUAGAUAUUAGGAGGAACACCAGUUGCGAAGGCGGCUCUCUGGACUGUAACUGACACUGAGGCACGAAAGCGUGGGGAGCAAACAGGAUUAGAUACCCUGGUAGUCCACGCCGUAAACGAUGAGUACUAGCUGUCGGAGGUUACCCCCUUCGGUGGCGCAGCUAACGCAUUAAGUACUCCGCCUGGGAAGUACGCUCGCAAGAGUGAAGCUCGAAGGAAUUGACGGGGACCCGCACAAGUAGCGGAGCAUGUGGUUUAAUUCUAAGCAACGCGAAGAACCUUACCUAAGCUUGACAUCCUUUUGACCGAUGCCUAAUCGCAUCUUUCCCCUUUGGGGACAGAAGUGACAGGUGGUGCAUGGUUGUCGUCAGCUCGUGUCGUGAGAUGUUGGGUUAAGUCCCGCAACGAGCGCAACCCUUGCCUUUAGUUGCCAGCAUUAAGUUGGGCACUCUAGAGGGACUGCCAGGGAUAACCUGGAGGAAGGUGGGGAUGACGUCAAAUCAUCAUGCCCCUUAUGCUUAGGGCUACACACGUGCUACAAUGGGUGGUACAGAGGGCAGCCAAGUCGUGAGGCGGAGCUAAUCCCUUAAAGCCAUUCUCAGUUCGGAUUGUAGGCUGAAACUCGCCUACAUGAAGCUGGAGUUACUAGUAAUCGCAGAUCAGAAUGCUGCGGUGAAUGCGUUCCCGGGUCU